RNAcentral lists this ribosomal RNA (424 nucleotides) under uncultured bacterium. RNAcentral describes it as "bacterial SSU rRNA". It matches the Rfam family "Bacterial small subunit ribosomal RNA", at positions 917 to 1344 of the family's 1533-position model. The record is from RNAcentral.
GGGCCCGCACAAGCGGUGGAGCAUGUGGUUUAAUUCGAUGAUACGCGAGGAACCUUACCAGGGCUUAAAUGUAAGUUGCAUAGAUCAGAGAUGGUCUUUUCUUCGGACUACUUACAAGGUGCUGCAUGGUUGUCGUCAGCUCGUGCCGUGAGGUGUCAGGUUAAGUCCUAUAACGAGCGCAACCCCUGUCGUUAGUUGCCAGCAUGUAAUGAUGGGAACUCUAACGGGACUGCCGGUGCAAACCGAGAGGAAGGUGGGGAUGACGUCAAAUCAUCACGGCCCUUACGUCCUGGGCUACACACGUGCUACAAUGGCCGGUACAGAGAGCAGCCACUACGCGAGUAGGAGCGAAUCUAUAAAACCGGUCUCAGUUCGGAUCGCAGUCUGCAACUCGACUGCGUGAAGCUGGAAUCGCUAGUAAUCG